RNAcentral lists this unclassified non-coding RNA (176 nucleotides) under Staphylotrichum boninense. RNAcentral describes it as "ITS1". The record is from RNAcentral. Lineage: Eukaryota; Fungi; Ascomycota; Sordariomycetes; Sordariales; Chaetomiaceae.
CAGAGUCGAAAUACUCCGUAAACCAUUGUGAACGUUACCUUAACCGUUGCUUCGGCGGGCGGCGCCCGGCCCUCGUGGCCCGCGGCGCCCCCCGGCCCCCUGCGGGCGCCCGCCGGAGGUAUACCUAACUCUUGAAUUACACGGCCUCUCUGAGUCUUCUGUACUGAAUAAGUCAA